GAUGAACGCUAGCUACAGGCUUAACACAUGCAAGUCGAGGGGUAACGAGAGGAAAGCUUGCUUUCCUUGUUGACGACCGGCGCACGGGUGAGUAACGCGUAUCCAACCUGCCCCCAACUAGGGAAUAACCUUGCGAAAGUAAGACUAAUACCCUAUAAUUUCCUCAGAUGUCAUCUGACGAGGAAUAAAGAUUUAUCGGUUGUGGAUGGGGAUGCGUCUGAUUAGCUUGUUGGCGGGGUAACGGCCCACCAAGGCAACGAUCAGUAGGGGUUCUGAGAGGAAAGUCCCCCACAUUGGAACUGAGACACGGUCCAAACUCCUACGGGAGGCAGCAGUGAGGAAUAUUGGUCAAUGGGAGGAAGCCUGAACCAGCCAAGUAGCGUGCAGGAUGACGGCCCUAUGGGUUGUAAACUGCUUUUGUACAGGAAUAAAGUUAGCCACGUGUGGUUAUUUGUAGGUACUGUAUGAAUAAGGACCGGCUAAUUCCGUGCCAGCCGCCGCGGUAA
This 506-nucleotide ribosomal RNA is filed under the name uncultured bacterium. Its description in RNAcentral is "partial 16S ribosomal RNA". It matches the Rfam family "Bacterial small subunit ribosomal RNA", at positions 28 to 523 of the family's 1533-position model. The record is from RNAcentral.